UACGUAGGGUGCGAGCGUUGUCCGGAAUUAUUGGGCGUAAAGAGCUCGUAGGCGGUCUGUCGCGUCGGUCGUGAAAACUUGGGGCUUAACCCUGAGCUUGCGGUCGAUACGGGCAUGACUGGAGUUCGGCAGGGGAGACUGGAAUUCCUGGUGUAGCGGUGAAAUGCGCAGAUAUCAGGAGGAACACCGGUGGCGAAGGCGGGUCUCUGGGCCGAUACUGACGCUGAGGAGCGAAAGCGUGGGGAGCGAACAG
Molecule: ribosomal RNA, 253 nt
Filed under: uncultured bacterium
Lineage: Bacteria
Description: partial 16S ribosomal RNA
Rfam family: Bacterial small subunit ribosomal RNA
Source: RNAcentral